This 1437-nucleotide long non-coding RNA is filed under the name Serinus canaria (Common canary). Its description in RNAcentral is "lncRNA (ENSSCAG00000015368.1)". The record is from RNAcentral. Lineage: Eukaryota; Metazoa; Chordata; Aves; Passeriformes; Fringillidae.
AUGCACUUUGAGCCAUUGGUACGACGGCUGGCACCAGCCGAGCAGCCCCGGGACACGCGGGGACACGGACAAGGACAGAACAACCCUUGCUGCCCGGCUCAGCCGGGAUCUGGCGGGGCUUUCACCCGUGGGGCAGGGCGGGCUGUACGUCCCUGUGAGCCGUGGGCUCCUGCCCCACAAACAUGGUGCUGUUCUACACGAUCUAGAGCCCGGCGUGGCGAGUCCGCUGUUUUGGGGGCCCUGGACACGGGGACGCUCUCGGCCCUUCCGCGAGCUAAUUCCUUUCCCGGCCCCACUAAAANNNNNNNNNNNNNNNNNNNNCCGGCCCCACUAAAAUUAGCCGGGUCUUUUCCGGCGCCGCCCGCCGUGACCCCACGCCCUGCGGCCGGAGCAAGGCGGAUGUUCCCGCUGGACUCUGAGCCGGCCGCUGCUCCCCAGGGAUGCAGCAGCUCCCGCCGGGCUGAGCCGCAUCCUGCCCCAUCCCAGCCCAGCCCCGCGGGGUGCCGGGCCCCGCUGCCCCCUCCCCGGCAGCUUUAUAAAAAUAGCUCCUUCCCAGGCUGGUUCCCCCCGCCGCCAGCGCCAGCAGGAUCCAGAUGUUUUCCAGAUGUUCUUCAGUGGCUGGAGGCCAGGAUGUGCUGGAGCUGGGACUGGAGCUGGCCUGGGAAACUGUGCGGGGGUGGAGGAGGAGGAGAGGGAGGUGGAGGGGGAGGAGGCCUUGCCCCAACCCUGCCACAGGCCCUGGAGGGACCCCUUGUGCCAUGGUGGGACCCUUUGUGCCUGGGAGGACCAGCCCAACCCUUCACGGGCAUGGCAGCCCUGAGCAACCCCCCCCAACCACAGCACUUUGUACCCAAAAUAGUUUAUUUUAANNNNNNNNNNNNNNNNNNNNCACCCGCUCGACCUCUGCCUGUGGGGAGAGGCUGUGAUUGUUGGGGGGCACAGGGGACCCCAGACAAGGCAACCCCUGGCAGGGACUCACCUGCAGCACCUGGCGCUGAGCCUGCUCCUGGCACAGCUCCUGCCGCAGCUCCUGCAGGUCCCGCCUGCAACACACCGGGGUGGCUCAGCUGGGGCCAGGACAAGCAGCCAGGAGUCCCUGGGGACCCCCCAACACCCCCAUCCCCACUCACAGGUGCUGGACUCGCAUCAGGUCCACAAGGAUGUGCAGGGUCCGCACCUCAGCCUUCAGGUCCUCCAGGGCCAGUGGCCUCCCCUCCAGCACCUCCAGCCCCUCUGUGCUCCACGGUGGGACAGGUGCCUGCCCUGUGCUGGGGACAGGGGCACAGAGGGCAGAACGGGGCAGCCCCUGGGGCUGCUCCCCCCCAUGGGGACCCCCUGUGCUCCCCAGGGCCAGGCUGGGUGGCCGCUGGCCAGGGACUCGUGGCCGUGUGGCUGUGGGGUGGCUCAGCCUGGCUGUGGUCACUGACACCAUGUUAA